This is a long non-coding RNA of Leptonychotes weddellii (Weddell seal), 563 nucleotides long. RefSeq lists it as uncharacterized. The record is from RefSeq and is a predicted model, not a curated record. Lineage: Eukaryota; Metazoa; Chordata; Mammalia; Carnivora; Phocidae.
CAGACAAUCAGCAGAUUCUUUAGAGCAGAACUAAUGGAUGGGCUGGUCCCGGUGCCAAGCGGUCACUGACAGAAGGUACAGAGCCCACCGGCAUUGGGUCACAGCGAGACAUUUGGCCACACACCCAAACAGAGAGGAUUUCCAGCAUCUAGAGUCGUAAGUUUACAAAGCCGUAAGAACCGUGAAGAUUCCGGAAAGAAUGCCCCCAGGAUGUCACAGCUAGCUUACAGCAGUGUUUCUCACAUGGUCAGAAAUACAUUUGACCUGGUGACCAGUGAGUGUGAGUGUAACAUAAACAUACACAAGGUUAAUAGAUACAUCUGUGUAAUUGAAACGGGAAUGUCAUGAUACAAUGUUACCCUUUCCAAAUGCUAUGUUGUUUUCCUUUCUAUUGUUGUUUUGUUAAAGCUGUUUUUGACCCACGAAAUUGGUCUAUGACCCACUAAAGAGUCACAACCUGUAAUUUGAAAAGUACCAUACACAUAAGCAAAAACUCCUUGUGCUACCUCAUACUGAACCAUCUAACUCACUUUUAAUUAUGUAGUAAAAUUUUCUGAAACUAA